This is a long non-coding RNA of Tyto alba (common barn owl), 1720 nucleotides long. RefSeq lists it as uncharacterized. The record is from RefSeq and is a predicted model, not a curated record. Lineage: Eukaryota; Metazoa; Chordata; Aves; Strigiformes; Tytonidae. The transcript is spliced from 3 exons.
AUUACAUUUCUGGCUUUCACUAAUUCUUACAGAAGUGAGAGAAUUGCAAACACAUUUUUAAGUUAAAUGCGUACUGAGAUGUUUUGCUUGAUGUGAAAUCUGUUUCGAAGAACUAAGUUCUCAAACAUCCUGGUUGUGUUAACUAAAGCUUUCAGAAUGUUGUCAGCUGCCGUACAAACAAGAUGAUGCUUAAAUCCUUACACACCUACCUCUUUACUAGUGAAGUUGUCAAGUUACUUCAAAGAUCUGGACAUGGGCCUGGAUCUGCAGCCUUGUUGACACAAGUGAGCAACCAAAAUCUGUUGAGAUCUUUGAAGCAGACAUUCUUCUGUUUCUCCCAUUUGAGGCCUGGCCUCAUAAGCUUUUCUGAAGCAUGCUUACUAGAAGUGGGCCUAGCAUGAAAUAGGGCUAGAGAGAAACAGGAAACAAAUCCGGAUAGAGUGAACAAAGUAUUUGAAAGCUGUAGUGUUACAGAGUAACACAAGGUGGGGGCAGAGGGCAUGCAGAAUUAUGAAUGUGCAUGUUGAAGUUGCUGGAGUUUUUCCGCUUCUGUAUUUUUUAUGUAAGAAUCCUGUUACGCUGUGUAGGUAUCAGAGCUCUGCUGUAUUGAGCAAUUUAAACUCAUCUGUAGCUAUCUCCCUCAUGCUAACAGAUCUGUUCCAUACUUUCUGUGUCCUUUCUCAUAGAUGAUUUUAAUUUUCUAGAAAUAUUAAUCUAAUUUCCUGUGAAAUGACAGUUAGGCACUCAUGCCUCUGCCCAGUUUCCUCUAGUAUGGUUUGAACCUAAUGGUCAAUUUCUAUUAAAGCUAAUAGAUGUGUCAAAGAUCUCUCAAAAGUUUAUGAAAAUAGGUAAUUACCAAAGAAGUUGUGGACUUACUAAAGGAAAAGCUACAAUGUAAGCUUUGUUGGAUAUAAGGAAGCUUGGAAGUCUCUUCUGUUAAAUUCCAGAGAAUUAAUUCGCUGUUUGCAGGUGAACCAUAGAAAAUGAGGUUUCAUUAGUUUUAUUGCUGACAACUAUUUGUAUAUUUGGGGGAAUGUUCAAAUUUCUGUGGAACACACCAUGUUUAUUUAAAAGGACAAUAUGUUCAUAGACCAGGUGUAUUUUAUUAAAAAGCUUAAAUACCUUGCAGAUCUAAGAUGUUCUGUCUGAACUUCUCUGCCUCUUCACUAAGCCAACAGCAGUUCACUGAAGGGCAAUGGAAUGAACCCUGAUAAAAAUACCUGCUGGAUGCUGUGCCAGAUUUAAACAGUUACUGACAAUUUUGCACACUUCAGCUAGACAAAGAAUUAUCCACAUACAUGAGAUGCCAUCUCAAGAUUUAGAAGAAGGAAUGAAUUUCCAUAUGCAGAGGUCUCACUGCCUGACUUGAAAAGGGAUGAGGGGAGAGGAGCAAACUCGUGCAAAUACUCAUUGCAGUGUCUGCAGGCCUCAGGUGAGAGCCAUCUCAUAGUGGCACAGUUGUACCAGAUCUCCUCAAUAAAUGACUGACAACAGAACCUCUGCUCUCUACUGGACAUUUGCCCAAAACCAGAUAUAAGUGAACUCGAACAAGUUAUUCUUAUUUCUGCAAGUAACACUUUAUAUCAGCUCCUUUUAGUUUGUUUUUCAAAGUCUUUUCUGAGUGCUGGCUCUUGUAGCAGAGUUUAAAGCUGCCUCCAGGUAACAAUAUUCAAGUUUGAAUUUUUUCUCUAGAAAGGUUGCCAGCUUCUGCCUUUGGCAA